This 298-nucleotide ribosomal RNA is filed under the name uncultured bacterium. RNAcentral describes it as "partial 16S ribosomal RNA". It matches the Rfam family "Bacterial small subunit ribosomal RNA", at positions 338 to 652 of the family's 1533-position model. The record is from RNAcentral.
CCUACGGGGGGCAGCAGUCGGGAAUAUUGCGCAAUGGAGGAAACUCUGACGCAGUGACGCCGCGUAUAGGAAGAAGGUUUUCGGAUUGUAAACUAUUGUCGUUAGGGAAGAUAAAAGACUGUACCUAAGGAGGAAGCCCCGGCUAACUAUGUGCCAGCAGCCGCGGUAAUACGUAGGGGGCGAGCGUUAUCCGGAUUUACUGGGUGUAAAGGGAGCGUAGACGGCGUCGCAAGUCUGAAGUGAAAGCCCGUGGCUCAACCGCGGAACCGCUUUGGAAACUGCGAGGCUGGGGUGCUGG